This 77-nucleotide transfer RNA is filed under the name Candidatus Margulisiibacteriota bacterium. RNAcentral describes it as "Candidatus Margulisbacteria bacterium (hot springs metagenome) tRNA-Ile". It matches the Rfam family "tRNA". From Rfam's summary of the family: Transfer RNA (tRNA) molecules are approximately 80 nucleotides in length. Their secondary structure includes four short double-helical elements and three loops (D, anti-codon, and T loops). The record is from RNAcentral. Lineage: Bacteria; Bacillati; Candidatus Margulisiibacteriota.
GGGCUCAUAGCUCAGAUGGUUAGAGCGUGCGCCUGAUAAGCGCAAGGUCGGUGGUUCGACUCCACCUGGGCCCACCA